Molecule: ribosomal RNA, 463 nt
Filed under: uncultured bacterium
Lineage: Bacteria
Description: partial 16S ribosomal RNA
Rfam family: Bacterial small subunit ribosomal RNA
Source: RNAcentral
GACGAACGCUGGCGGCGUGCUUAACACAUGCAAGUCGAACGGAAAGGCCUUGUCUGAGUUACUCGAUUGGCGAACGGGUGGGUAACACGUGGGUGAGCAUCCCUGCACUCUGGUUUAAGCCUGGGAAACUGGGUCUAAUACCGGAUAGGACCGCGCUUUAGUGUGUGUGUUGGGAAGGGUUUUCGGUGUAGGAUGAGCCCGCGGCCUAGCAGCUUGUUGGUGUGGUAAUGGCCGACCAAGGCGGCGACGGGUAGCCGGACUGAGAGGUUGGUCGGCCACCUUGGGACUGAGAUAAGGCCCAGACGCCUACGGGGGGCAGCAGUGGGGAAUAUUGCACAAUGGGGGCAAGCCUGAUGCAGAGACGCCGCGGGGGGGAUGACGGGCUUCGGGGUGUAAAAUCGUUUCGCCAGGGAAGAAGCGUUUUGUGACGGUACCUGGAGAAGAAGCACCGGCUAACUACGUG